GCGAUCGUUAAAGAGAGAGAGAGAUGAUGGCGGUGUUCAGCACAGAAUCGGGCCUGUGUUUUGUAGAAGCUAUGAAGAGCAUUUCGCACAAUAAGCCAGCGGAAUCGAAGAAAGCAAACACUCUAUGGUCUAUGCUCAGAAAUUCCAGAUGUCCACCCAGCCACGACACUACUGUAGUUCCAUUUUGACAACUAUGAUGCAGUUCUGUCUUUUGUGCUUGUUAACAACAAUCACUGGAACUUGCUGAGCUGAUGCUGCUUUGAACUCUGAAGUUUCUUCCUCAUGGUGCGUUAGUUCCUAAGUCUCAUCUAUGAACUGAUCACUUGACCAACAUGCUGCAAUCACCUUUGUGAAUUAACUUGAACAUGUACAAUUAAAAUCACAUCUUGAGCUUCACUUGUUAUCAGUUUAUUUGGCAUU
Molecule: long non-coding RNA, 420 nt
Organism: Hemibagrus wyckioides
Lineage: Eukaryota; Metazoa; Chordata; Actinopteri; Siluriformes; Bagridae
Exons: 3
Source: RefSeq, a predicted model, not a curated record